UCGAGGGGUAACAAGUCUAGCUUGCUAGAUGUUGACGACCGGCGCACGGGUGCGCAACGCGUAUACAAUCUGCCCCCUACUGUGGGAUAGCCCAGAGAAAUUUGGAUUAAUACCACAUGGUACCAUAUUACGGCAUCGUAUUUAUGGUUAAAGGUUACGGUAGGGGAUGAGUAUGCGUCCCAUUAGUUAGUUGGCGAGGUAACGGCUCACCAAGACCGCGAUGGGUAGGGGCCCUGAGAGGGGGAUCCCCCACACUGGUACUGAGACACGGACCAGACUCCUACGGGAGGCAGCAGUGAGGAAUAUUGGACAAUGGGCGGGAGCCUGAUCCAGCCAUGCCGCGUGCAGGAAGAAUGCCCUAUGGGUAGUAAACUGCUUUUAUACGGGAAGAAAAAGGGCUACGUGUAGCCCACUGACGGUACCGUAAGAAUAAGGACCGGCUAACUCCGUGCCAGCAGCCGCGGUAAUACGGAGGGUCCGAGCGUUAUCCGGAAUUAUUGGGUUUAAAGGGUCCGUAGGCGGGCCGAUAAGUCAGGGGUGAAAGUCUGCCGCUCAACGGUAGAAUUGCCUUUGAUACUGUCGGUCUUGAGUUAUGGUGAAGUUGGCGGAAUAUGUAGUGUAGCGGUGAAAUGCAUAGAUAUUACAUAGAACACCGAUUGCGAAGGCAGCUGACUAACCAUCGACUGACGCUGAUGGACGAAAGCGUGGGGAGCGAACAGGAUUAGAUACCCUGGUAGUCCACGCCGUAAACGAUGGAUACUAGCUGUCCGGGUCCUUGAGACCUGGGCGGCCAAGCGAAAGUGAUAAGUAUCCCACCUGGGGAGUACGUUCGCAAGAAUGAAACUCAAG
Molecule: ribosomal RNA, 849 nt
Filed under: Zobellia sp. RHA_17
Lineage: Bacteria; Pseudomonadati; Bacteroidota; Flavobacteriia; Flavobacteriales; Flavobacteriaceae
Description: bacterial SSU rRNA
Rfam family: Bacterial small subunit ribosomal RNA
Source: RNAcentral